GGUUGGCAGGGAGUCCCUGCUGGGCAGCAGCAGUGGGGUGAAGGGCGUGACCCACCCCCACCCCCACAACCCCACCUUCCCACCCCAUUCUGAAUGCUCAGGAUCGCUGUGGGAGGACUAAAGUUUGGAGUGAGGGACACAGAGAAGGUGGAGGGAGAAACCUCCAGAACUUCGGAAGCCACACGACAAGGCUUCCUGUUUUUCUGGCCUCGCUCCCAAGGCCAGAAACCAUCCAGUUAAAGGAGUCUUAUGGAAGGCGAUCCUGGGAGUUGGCCAAGGUCUAUGUGACCCUUGGAACUGCAAAUACCUAAUCUGGAGAACCACAUGGACCAGAAAACACAGACUGGAGUCAGGCGAUCCAGAUUCCGAGCCGA
This 374-nucleotide long non-coding RNA is filed under the name Mustela putorius furo (domestic ferret). Its description in RNAcentral is "lncRNA (ENSMPUG00000026607.1)". The record is from RNAcentral. Lineage: Eukaryota; Metazoa; Chordata; Mammalia; Carnivora; Mustelidae.